This 253-nucleotide ribosomal RNA is filed under the name uncultured bacterium. RNAcentral describes it as "partial 16S ribosomal RNA". It matches the Rfam family "Bacterial small subunit ribosomal RNA", at positions 524 to 776 of the family's 1533-position model. The record is from RNAcentral.
GACGAAGGGGGCUAGCGUUGUUCGGAAUUACUGGGCGUAAAGCGCGUGUAGGCGGUUAUCCAAGUCAGGUGUGAAAGCCUUGAGCUCAACUCAAGAAAUGCACUUGGUACUGGGUGACUAGAGGACCGGAGAGGAUAGUGGAAUUCCCAGUGUAGUGGUGAAAUACGUGGAGAUUGGGAAGAACACCAGUGGCGAAGGCGGCUAUCUGGACGGUUUCUGACGCUAAGACGCGAAAGCGUGGGGAGCAAACAGG